AAACGACUCUCGGCCACGGAUAUCUC
Molecule: ribosomal RNA, 26 nt
Filed under: Rhododendron kaempferi
Lineage: Eukaryota; Viridiplantae; Streptophyta; Magnoliopsida; Ericales; Ericaceae
Description: partial 5.8S ribosomal RNA
Source: RNAcentral